This 434-nucleotide ribosomal RNA is filed under the name uncultured bacterium. RNAcentral's name for it is "bacterial SSU rRNA". It matches the Rfam family "Bacterial small subunit ribosomal RNA", at positions 87 to 518 of the family's 1533-position model. The record is from RNAcentral.
GGUGGCGACCGGCGCACGGGUGAGUAACGCGUAUGCAACCUACCUAUCAGGAGGGGAUAACCCGGCGAAAGUCGGACUAAUACCGCAUAAAACAGGGGCACCGCAUGGUGAUAUUUGUUAAAGAUUAAUUGCUGAUAGAUGGGCAUGCGUUCCAUUAGGUAGUUGGUGAGGUAAUGGCUCACCAAGCCGACGAUGGAUAGGGGAACUGAGAGGUUGGUCCCCCACACUGGUACUGAGACACGGACCAGACUCCUACGGGAGGCAGCAGUGAGGAAUAUUGGUCAAUGGGCGAGAGCCUGGACCAGCCAAGUCGCGUGAAGGAAGAAGGAUCUAUGGUUCGCAAACUUCUUUUGCAGGGGAAUAAAGUGGAGGACGUGUCCUCUUUUGUAUGUACCCUGAGAAUAAGGAUCGGCUAACUCCGUGCCAGCCGCCGC